Molecule: ribosomal RNA, 209 nt
Filed under: uncultured bacterium
Lineage: Bacteria
Description: partial 16S ribosomal RNA
Rfam family: Bacterial small subunit ribosomal RNA
Source: RNAcentral
UUCGGACUGUAGGCUGCAACUCGCCUACACGAAGUCGGAAUCGCUAGUAACCGCGGAUCAGCAUGCCGCGGUGAAUACGUUCCCGGGCCUUGUACACACCGCCCGUCACACCAUGGGAGUUUGUAACGCCCAAAGUCGGUGGCCUAACCUUUAUGGAGGGAGCCGCCUAAGGCGGGACAGAUGACUGGGUGAAGUCGUAACAAGGUAGC